GCCAGGCUCCUGUGUGUGCUGGGGGGGGGGGGGGUUGCAUGCAUGUGAGAAUGCGUUUGAUUGGUUUACCUAUUUAGAAGGAGAGAGAGAGAAGAGGAGGGCAACAGAAAGAGACAGAGAGAGAGAGAGAGGGAAAGAGAGAGAGAGAUUUGUAAAACACUUGUAUUUGUAAACCGCUGGCUGAGUUCCCACUAGAGGCAGAGAGAUCAGACUGAAAGAGAGUGUGUGAGUGUGUGUGUGUGUGUGUGUGUGUGUGUGUGUGUGUGUGUGUCAGGACUGAGACGGAGAGAGACAGGCAGGCAGGCAGGCAGGCACAGAGAGGAACCGUUCCACCACUCCUCAGCCCGUCUACAUGAGGUUUCUUCACGAAUAUGGAGGCUUUUCGCUCUCUUGAUUUUGUUUUCCUACCUUCCAGUCACCACAGAUUCAUGCUGCCGAACUUUUGACCCCCUUUUUAGGCUGAAGGUAAAAAGGAACAGGCUCGGCGGAGACAGAUGAGAGCUCUGUUUGUAGUUUUGCAGAAGGUGAGGAUGAUGACAACGAUGAUGGCGUUUGCCGCGUCUGCAGGGCUAUUUAAGGAAACAUUUGCAUCACAGCCUCUCCAAACUCCUGCUGGCUUCUCUUCAAACGUUUUUUGGAUCUCCACGUCUACAUGGAUGGGAACACACCUUGGCAUGGUGUUGCUCCGCAAGGGCCAAGAAAAACACGGAAGCACACAAACACACACACACACACACAGAGAAUUGUGAUACUCACGGCACGCAGCUAUAUCUAGCUCGUCUUUCUGGGUGACAGUUAGCAUUACAAAGUUAGCAUUUUUCCAUUGUAAUAACCAUUUGUUCAAACCUGAGAAGGAAAUAUACACUUGACAGGUCUGACAUCACAGCACGCUUUGCAGAAAUACACAAAAUACAUGUUUAGAUUUGAAUUGCAGACAUUUAAAAUGUAUGUGGUUUGGAUGGGAAUCACAGGCGAGUGACAUGCAAGCAUUUCUGGGAUUUUCGACUUGUUUGAGUCCAACUACAACAACAAAGAGAUAAAAAAAUAAACUGGGUAGCUUGAUUUUGGUUAAUUAUACGUUGAUUUUCUAUGCCAUCAAAAUAGCUGCCACCAAUCAAACCAAGGGUGCCCACGGUGAACAUUCAACGCUGUCGGUGAGUUUAAUCUCUAAACAAAACCAUUGACCGUUGACUGUACCCUGAGGGACGCCACAACACACAUGAACCAGGGUUCCCCCAAGCCCGGUGACCCACUGGGCCUAAGUUGCCCCACACCGGGCCUACGCCACUAGGAUUUCUUUUUGAAUGAAUUUUUAAGACGUUUUUAAACUACAGUUACAGUGGGGCGGGUUGGUUGGAAACUGACAUAGUAUUUUCAAAUCUCCAGUUGGCUUUUAUCACAGGCUCUACAUUAAUUCUGCCAUCAGUCUGUGACUGGUCCGAGCUGGAGCCUCGUGAAAAAAAGAAAAACUUUUCUGGGGGAAACCACGUGCACAUAAAUCUCUGGAAACCAUACGAUGUAAAAUA
Molecule: long non-coding RNA, 1526 nt
Organism: Etheostoma cragini (Arkansas darter)
Lineage: Eukaryota; Metazoa; Chordata; Actinopteri; Perciformes; Percidae
Exons: 2
Source: RefSeq, a predicted model, not a curated record